UUUACUUUCGGUUUUCGGUUAUUUGGUCAAGCAUCUACACGUCUACACCAUGCACACCCUUUAGGUCGUAUCUUGCCACACAACGAUAAUCGUCAUCUGUCUUGCAUGCUUGCGUUUGCUUUCUUAAAAACGCUGCGCUCGCUACUUUCCUGUCGAGAAUGCAAAGAAUGCUCUGUCGUGCUCAUCACGCGCAUGCCGUUCGUGACUUGGAAAUACCGGGCUCGCAGUGUUGAAGAAAGAAAAAUGCCGACAAGACAGAUGGAGUUAUUGUACUCAACAAUCUGCGGGAUCGGCCCCAUGCAUGGUGCGUUCCCGAAGAUAGUGCAAUCUUCGGGAACGGGCCGGGCCGCGACGGAGGUGAAGCAGGCGUUAAACCCAUACGCGGGCCGAUCAUAUAGGGGUCCUCACACACAGCUGCACUAGUCAUUCUUCACAGAGUGGAGGGGCACUGAGUUUAUCGUUUCGUAGUCUUUAUUUUACGCGGCUCAUGCAUUUGUGAGCUGCCAUAAAGAAGACAAUUGAACGCUGUUGUUUCGUUCUUGGCUGCACUCCAUGACUUAUCAUUCUAGCUCUACGAAAACUUCCCCUAUAUAUUUAUUCAGCCGUAAUCAUAAGGGACCCCUUAUCCGUUUGUUCUGCUAUAUAAGUGUAAAAUUCGUCUACAAUUCUCCGAGAAUUUUAUUCAUCCAUCCCCCAACAUUUACGUCUCAUAUCCGUUUGGUAUGGGUACCUGUAACGUAUAGUAGUUCGAGUAUUGAGACUGAUUACGGCCGAUUCUGUUGGGAACACACACACAUUUAUUUCAACGAAACUGCAGCCAUCUUGGAAGCUCCCCUGAACCCCAGGGUUGCCUUCCUUCAUUCCAAAGAGUGCCAUACAUGGACACUACAUCAUCCCCUCAGGGAAGGAAAAAUCAGUUUUGCUUAAACACGAAGUCUUUCAGGUGCCUAGGUCGUUGCCUGGAUCGUUGGGGGUACCGCUGUGAGACGGUCUUGGGAGCUGCUGAUAUGGCUUGGCUAGGAGUAGCUAUGCUGGGGGUUGGAAGGUCACUGUUACUUGGCACAGCUUCAUCAUCCAGAUAUGGCAUGUCGGUCGGGUCCUGAUGUCGUUCCACUUGAACUGUGCUUGCAUCUUUGAAGAAACUUGAGUUGCGACAAAUCGACACUCCAUCUCUGGAUGCUGUGAUUCUGGAGCCAUUGACUUUGGUGAUUGUGUAUGGGUGUGGGUCAUAGUAAGGCGAAAACUUGUUUGACCUGUCCUGUUUACAGAGGACUUGUUGUCCCACACACAGCUGGUUGUUACUCGUAUGCCUCCGAGUGUCGACGUACCACUUGUUGUAUGCUUUUCUUUUAGUGUCAUUCUGUCUGGCCUCAUACUGAGCCGAGUUGUGAGUACCAGCGACAAGUGUCGGUAGAAGAUUCUUUAUGGGUCUCCCAAACAGAAGUUCAAACGGAGAUUUUCCUGUGGAACUAUGGGGUGUGGACCUAUAAGCCAGAAGGAACGACUGAAGCUCAUUAGUCCAAUCCAAGUGGCUGACACGACUUGCGAGUAUAGACUUCUUGAGGGUGCGCAUGAAUCUUUCUGCUUCCCCAUUAGCCUCUGGCCACCGUGGAGUGAUGCGGUGAUGCUUGAACCCGAGCUCACUGGCGAACUCUGCAAAACUCUCACUCUGAAAUGGUGAGCCAUUGUCUGACUUUACAACUUCUGGACAGCCGAACUGAGCGAAAACAGUGCGCAGUUGCUUGAUGACUGUAGGUGCUGCAAGAGUGUGUAGGAUGCUAACAACUGGGUACUUGGAGAAAUCAUCCACCACUGCCAUGGCAUACUUGCCAUCAGGGAAAGGGCCAGCAAAAUCUAACGACAGUUCAGUCCACGGGCCUCGAGGCAGCUCCUGGAUUGGCAAGGGAUCUCGAUGGUGUACUGGUGUGUUUGCUUGGCAUGUCAGGCAACUCUUAACUGUCUGGUCCACCAAAGAGUCUAUCCCUGGAAACCACACUUUCUCACGCAACAGCUGUUUUGUCUUGACAAUGCCUUGGUGUCCUCGAUGUGCAAGAUGCACUGCCUUAGUGUGAAGUUGUGCUGGCAGUACUAUCCGCGUGCCUCUUAACACAAGGCCUUCUUUGGAAACUGACAGUUCUGUCGCAACGCGAGAGAAGGGCAUCAGAGUUGUGGUCUUCCAAUCUCCCCUGAACCCCAGGGUUGCCUUCCUUCAUUCCAAAGAGUGCCAUACAUGGACACUACAGUACCAGGAUCAAGAUUCUAGCCACCCUAACCAGGACACAUGUGGGACCAACAUUCUAUAUGGGACUCCUUCUAAACGAGUCAGCAGACGCACUAGCGGCACCAUCUAAGCCCGGUAUACCGAGCAUCCUAAAACCUUCAGCAUACGUUCAUACUGUGAGACGUUCAACAUAGCAUAAAUGGGAGUGUUGUCGUUGUGCCACGGGAUGUCCCUACACUUGCAAAAACAUGGUGCUGACCGUUUUGCCAAACCUGCUGAAGUACUUGAGCAAGAAACUGCCAAAAAAAACGCAAAAGGCAAGGAACAGUUAUAGAAGCCACCGUUCCAUUGAAGAAAAGUGGUGCAGCACUCGAGAAGUUGGAAGCAAGCCUGCAGGUGGAAGAAACAAUAGGUCUGACCGCCGUCUUGGUGAGGUGCUCUGCAACUGCUGGGAACUGAAGGCCAUUGGGUAAUUGAACCAGGCAGUGCAAAGGAGGCCACUCUUGACCAUAUGCUGGAGUUUUUGGAUUCAUGGGAGGAUCAUUCAAAAGGACUUGGGUUCCUCAGCAAGCACAUUUCAGUGAGAAGUCCGAAAGGCGGUAACGUGUCUGAUGGUGUACUGGAAUCCCUACUGUCCAUAGAGCAGCUGCUUCCCGAGAGCGGUUAGCAGACCGAGGCUGCAGACAACACAAAUGUCCUUUCAGAAGCAGUGAAAAUAUCUGUGGAGCACAUUUCCUACAACACCGAAAAAAGUGAUUCCCACCUAGUCGAUUUCAUAGCCGCGGGCUAUGUAGUAAGGAAGCAGAUUCUGUGAAUCAGUUGUGAACGAUGCAAGGCAGCUUGUCUCAUCACCAAAGACAAUGUGGCCCCAAAUCUGCCGGCGGAUGCCUCUUUGCAGUGGGACCUUGGUGGACUUCUUUAUGCAUCACAUACUCUGUACGACUUGAUUCAGACGCUUGAGAACAAGCUACCUAUUUAGCACAGCUUGCCUCCCCGCAGUAUCUGUUACAGACAUGUGGCAAAAGAUUGGGCAGGCAUCACAGGUCGGCUACGGUGAGCAUGCUGUUACACUGUUACAUCUGUUGUACGCUUAUAUUGCCUACUGUGGGUUCAUUUUUUUUAAUGGAGUCAACCAAAAGGACAAAAAGAAGCCAAGCGGGUUAACCCUGUGUUCUGUGGAUUGCUUCUUGCUGCAAAGUUCAAGUAAACUUGUUUUUUCCAU
This is a non-coding RNA of Dermacentor andersoni, 3443 nucleotides long. The record is from RefSeq and is a predicted model, not a curated record. NCBI's taxonomy places the organism in Eukaryota, Metazoa, Arthropoda, Arachnida, Ixodida, Ixodidae.